This is a long non-coding RNA of Brassica napus (rape), 932 nucleotides long. RefSeq lists it as uncharacterized. NCBI's taxonomy places the organism in Eukaryota, Viridiplantae, Streptophyta, Magnoliopsida, Brassicales, Brassicaceae. The record is from RefSeq and is a predicted model, not a curated record. The transcript has 2 exons.
AUUGCUAUCCUCUGCCGAUAGACUUGUGUUUAUAGUGCUUUCUUGAUAGGAUCAAUUACAAGGAUGAUGAAUUCUUCAGGAUUCAGCUACUCUGGCAGGAAAGGAACUAAGACGGUGAUGGUCUCUUAGGCUCGGGAAGGAAGCCACUGAUCAAUGCAAGGAAAAUGGAAAUAUUAAAAUUUAAAAGUACGUAUGUGUCAUUAAUGUGGGGUUGUAUGUGUUUUGAUAUUUUAUGUAAUAGCGAUGAAUGAUUAUUGUUCAGACAAAGUAUAAUAAGAACAACUCGAAACACUCAAUUCUCACUCUAAACAUGGUGAGAAGGGUCAUAAUAGUGAGGCCCUAAUUAUUGGGUGUAAAAGUCUAAAAGCGUAUUCAUAUUUUCUUAGUUACUGAUUACGAUAUCAUGGCAAAUUUAAUUAUGGGUAUGAAUACUUGUUAGAAAAUACCACGUCUUAAACCCAAAUCAGACAGGCGCUUAAGUGUGUUAUGAAUACGCUUUUAGACUUUUACACCCAAUAAUUAGGGCCUCACUAUUAUGACUCUUCUCACCAUGUUUAGAGUGAGAAUUGAGUGUUUCGAGUUGUUCUUAUUAUACUUAGGGCCUCACUAUACCUUCGUAAGUGUGUUAUGGACUAUUGGCAUAACAAUAACUCGAAAUAUGCUUAUAUUAAUAGUGCGCUUAUAAAUAAACCACAUCAACAUAACAUAACGCUUCCAUAUUCAUCUAACCAAUACAUGCCUUCUUAUAAGCAAGCUCAUUUAUCUUAUAAGACCACAAUAUUUGUUAUAUAAAUAUUGUUCAGAACUAAUUAUUUAGGGUUGUAAUGUUGUUCAGAAUUAGUCAUUUAGAGUUGUUGAAAUUCGAUAUUGAAGAAUAUGUCAAGCAUAAAAUGUUUUUAUCAGUAAUUGAUGUUCAAAGAGAAAAAAAGAAA